CUCAGAACGAACGCUGGCGGCAGGCCUAACACAUGCAAGUCGAGCGCACCCCUUCGGGGGCGAGCGGCGGACGGGUUAGUAACGCGUGGGAACAUACCCUUUACUACGGAAUAGCCUCGGGAAACUGAGAGUAAUACCGUAUGUGCCCUUCGGGGGAAAGAUUUAUCGGUAAAGGAUUGGCCCGCGUUAGAUUAGAUAGUUGGUGGGGUAAUGGCCUACCAAGUCUACGAUCUAUAGCUGGUUUUAGAGGAUGAUCAGCAACACUGGGACUGAGACACGGCCCAGACUCCUACGGGAGGCAGCAGUGGGGAAUCUUAGACAAUGGGCGCAAGCCUGAUCUAGCCAUGCCGCGUGUGUGAUGAAGGCCUUAGGGUCGUAAAGCACUUUCGCCAGAGAUGAUAAUGACAGUAUCUGGUAAAGAAACCCCGGCUAACUCCGUGCCAGCAGCCGCGGUAAUACGGAGGGGGUUAGCGUUGUUCGGAAUUACUGGGCGUAAAGCGUACGUAGGCGGAUCAGAAAGUAUGGGGUGAAAUCCCAGGGCUCAACCCUGGAACUGCCUCAUAAACUCCUGGUCUUGAGUUCGAGAGAGGUGAGUGGAAUUCCAAGUGUAGAGGUGAAAUUCGUAGAUAUUUGGAGGAACACCAGUGGCGAAGGCGGCUCACUGGCUCGAUACUGACGCUGAGGUACGAAAGUGUGGGGAGCAAACAGGAUUAGAUACCCUGGUAGUCCACACCGUAAACGAUGAAUGCCAGUCGUCGGGCAGUAUACUGUUCGGUGACACACCUAACGGAUUAAGCAUC
This 800-nucleotide ribosomal RNA is filed under the name uncultured Sulfitobacter sp. RNAcentral describes it as "bacterial SSU rRNA". It matches the Rfam family "Bacterial small subunit ribosomal RNA", at positions 23 to 868 of the family's 1533-position model. The record is from RNAcentral. Lineage: Bacteria; Pseudomonadati; Pseudomonadota; Alphaproteobacteria; Rhodobacterales; Roseobacteraceae.